Molecule: ribosomal RNA, 554 nt
Filed under: Streptomyces viridosporus
Lineage: Bacteria; Bacillati; Actinomycetota; Actinomycetes; Kitasatosporales; Streptomycetaceae
Description: bacterial SSU rRNA
Rfam family: Bacterial small subunit ribosomal RNA
Source: RNAcentral
GGCGAACGGGUGAGUAACACGUGGGCAAUCUGCCCUGCACUUCGGGACAAGCCCUGGAAACGGGGUCUAAUACCGGAUACCCGUUUCCGCAGGCAUCUGCGGAAACGGAAAGCUCCGGCGGUGCAGGAUGAGCCCGCGGCCUAUCAGCUGGUUGGUGAGGUAACGGCUCACCAAGGCGACGACGGGUAGCCGGCCUGAGAGGGCGACCGGCCACACUGGGACUGAGACACGGCCCAGACUCCUACGGGAGGCAGCAGUGGGGAAUAUUGCACAAUGGGCGCAAGCCUGAUGCAGCGACGCCGCGUGAGGGACGACGGCCUUCGGGUUGUAAACCUCUUUCAGCAGGGAAGAAGCGCAAGUGACGGUACCUGCAGAAGAAGCGCCGGCUAACUACGUGCCAGCAGCCGCGGUAAUACGUAGGGCGCGAGCGUUGUCCGGAAUUAUUGGGCGUAAAGAGCUCGUAGGCGGCCUGUCGCGUCAAUUGUGAAAGCCCGGGGCUCAACCCCGGGUCUGCAGUCGAUACGGGCAGGCUAGAGUUCGGUAGGGGAGAUCGG